AGAAAUUUCUUUCCCCAAGAUGCCAGCUUCUAGAAAUAAGCUCUUUCUUCUUACCAACAUUCAUCCCUGUUCAAUUGGCUACCCACAUGGUGAGCCAUAGGGCCUGAUUAAAAGAUUUAAAAAGAGUUGCAGAGAUUUCUAUAUUUUUCUGUGUCAUAAUGUAUGCUAUGCAUUAUGUGUGUUUACUGUUGUAUGUGUAAAAGUUGGUUGUGCUUAUUUGUGUUAUUUAAAAUCACAACAUAAUUUUCACCUAAGCACAAACAAUAGAUGAAAAGAUGAUGCAGUGUUCAUUGCUUCCUAUGAAGUCCAAUUUAAAGUUGUUCUGUGGCAAGAUCAUGACUUAAGAGAAUAACCAUACUUAUCUAAUAUGUUAGUUUCUCAGGCAAUGUAAGUAUAAUUGCUAAAAAUUGAAUUGGUGGUCUUUGCUGUGGCACCUUGUGCAUCAUCAGGUCCCUGCAACCUAAGGGAUGUCUCCCUCUCCUCAUCUUCCUGAGAAAUGGACUCAAGUGUACACUGACUGGAGAGGGGGUAGAGAAGAUAAUGUAGCAGUGCUGGGUCAGAAUCCAUAGUGAGGUUCAAACUGAUGCUGCAAGCCUUGCUGGAUUCAUGGAUAUGUGUGAGAUGGAGCAAACAUCAGCAUCGAGCAGACAGGCAGAGACACAGAUACAGUGCUUUCAUGUGCUGAUUCCUCCAAGGCUCACAACUGAGUCUGGGCUAAAACAAAACCAGGAGCUGUGGGGCAGGGAUUGUGCUGCAUCAGUUUAAGCUGCUGAUUGGGAUGCUCACAUCAAAUACCAGGGUGUGUGUCUUGUCUACUAUGAUUUUUUUUAAAAAAGUGUUUUCUAAUUAAUGUGAAAUGUAGUUUGUCAUAUUUGAUAUCUAGAGCUAUAGUGAAGUGCAUUGACAAAUAUCAAAUGAUUUGUAGAUGUCACGAACUCUGGUUUAUUUAUUUAUGUUUGAGUAGGGUUAU
Molecule: long non-coding RNA, 970 nt
Filed under: Oryctolagus cuniculus (rabbit)
Lineage: Eukaryota; Metazoa; Chordata; Mammalia; Lagomorpha; Leporidae
Description: lncRNA (ENSOCUG00000034477.1)
Source: RNAcentral